RNAcentral lists this long non-coding RNA (1672 nucleotides) under Sus scrofa (pig). RNAcentral describes it as "lncRNA (ENSSSCG00035025336.1)". The record is from RNAcentral. Lineage: Eukaryota; Metazoa; Chordata; Mammalia; Artiodactyla; Suidae.
UCUGGCAGCAUGCAGAAGUUCUGGAGCUAGGGAUCCAACCCGCACCACAGCAGCGACCCAAGCCACUGCAGCGACAAUGCUGGAUCCCCAACCUGCCAUCACUUUUACUGAACUAAUAGAGUGAUAUGUAUUCGUUGCAGACAUGUUUUUAAAGUAUAGAAAAUAAUUUAAAUCAUCUGUAAACAUCCAUCCUUACCACAAUCCUCAGGGGUAGCAUUUGAUGUUCAUAGCUUGAAUCUUAUUUUGCUAGGGUAUUUAGAAAAUGUGUAUGGGUGGAAUAUAUUUGGGGGGAUAUUAGGUAGUUUUCAUUUCAUCUUUGUGCUUAGCUGUUUUCUUUUUUAAAGUAAUUAUACACUGUGUGUGUGAUUCUAGAAGGGAAGAUGAUUCAGUCACAUCCAUUAUUACCCUGUAAGAUAAACUUAUGUACGUGGAAUUUCUAGGUCCGAAGAUAUAUGUGUUUCUGAGGCAUCUGAUAAUUUUUGAUAGCUUCACGUUUGCAUCUGUUUCCUCUCCCAUCAGCGAUAUACAAAAUGUGCUCUCUCUUCUUGUCUUGAAAGCCUUGGGGAAAUUGUUUUCAUUUGUAAUUAUUCACCAUAGAGGAGUUCCCUUUGUGGCUCAGUAGUUAAGAACCCGAGGUAGUGUCCAUGAGGAUGCAAGGUUGUUUCCUGGCCUUGCUCAGUGGAUCUGGCAUUGCUGCAAGUUGUGGCAUAAGUUGCAGAUGAGGCUCAGAUCCAUGUUGCCAUGGCUGUGGAGUAGGCCUGCAGCUGCAGCUCUGAUAGAGCCUCUGGUCCAGGAACUUCCAUAAGCAGUAGGUGUGGCUGUCAAAAGAAAAAAAACUAAAAAAAUUUUUUUCAAUAAAAAAUAAGUAAAAGUAUCUAUUAUAGAAAAGUUAGAAAAUAAAGAUGUGUGAAAAUUAAGGAAAUAAUAAUUAGUGACAGAGGCACUCAGUGGUAAUGAAUGCUGAAAUUUCAGUGAUGCUCUUUCCUCUAGAAAUAUAUGAUAUGAAGUGUGUGUGUACAUGUGUGUGCCCAGUGAGGAUCACAUAGGCCAGUGCCAGACCUCUGGACCAGGAGGUGGGAAAUGGCAAAGCCCGGAUUUCACUCCUCAUAAGGGUGGGGACAUCCUGGUUGGAUUCUCCAGUCCUGCUUGUGACCCUAGAGUCAGGAGCCCUGGCUCCAAAGCCUGGCUCUGUGACUCUGAGUUGUGAGACUAUCAAUAAAUCAUUCAGGAGUUCCUGUUGUGACUCAUUGGGUUAAGGACCUGACGUUGUCUCCAAGAGAAUGCAGGUUCAAUUCUUGGCUUCACUCAGUGGGUUAAGGAUCUGGCAUUGCCACAAGCUGCUGUGUACGUUGCAUAUGUGGCUUGGAUCUGGCGUUUCUGUGGCUGUGGUGUAUAGGCCAGCAGCUGAAGCUCCAAUUCAACCCCUAGCCUGGGAACUUCCAUAUGCCAAGGGUGCAGUCAGUUAAAAAAAAAAAAAAAUCAUUCAACCUCGGAGCCUACUUUCCCCCUCUUGUUCUGGAGUAGAUGGCCUUUAGGGCCCUUUCAAACUGUCUCUUUGUCAGAUUUUAUGUUUUAAACAGGGCACCUGUCUUUCAUGACCACACUCCUUGUUUAAAGCUCUAAAUCUGAAACAUCCCCAUUACCUCCAGGAUCCGCUGCCAUUCCAUCACAG